CCUACGGGUGGCAGCAGUGGGGGAUAUUGCACAAUGGGGGAAACCCUGAUGCAGCGACGCCGCGUGUGGGAAGACGGUCCUCUGGAUUGUAAACCACUGUCCCCAGGGACGAAGAUGACGGUACCUGGGGAGGAAGCUCCGGCUAACUACGUGCCAGCAGCCGCGGUAAUACGUAGGGAGCGAGCGUUGUCCGGAAUUACUGGGGGAAAAGGGGGCGUAGGCGGGACUGCAAGUUGGGUGUCAAAUCUACCGGCUCAACCGGUAGCCGCACUCAAAACUGCAGUUCUUGAGUGAAGUAGAGGCAGGCGGAAUUCCUAGUGUAGCGGUGAAAUGCGUAGAUAUUAGGAGGAACACCAGUGGCGAAGGCGGCCUGCUGGGCUUUUACUGACGCUGAGGCUCGAAAGUGUGGGGAGCAAACAGGAUUAGAUACCCGGGUAGUC
RNAcentral lists this ribosomal RNA (440 nucleotides) under uncultured bacterium. RNAcentral describes it as "partial 16S ribosomal RNA". It matches the Rfam family "Bacterial small subunit ribosomal RNA", at positions 338 to 795 of the family's 1533-position model. The record is from RNAcentral.